CUGCUAUCAGAAUGAGAUUAAGCCAUGCGAGUCAACGUAGCAAUACGUGGCACACGGCUCAGUAACACGUAGUCAACAUAACCAGAGGACGUGGAUAAACUCGGGAAACUGAGGCUAAACCGCGAUAGACCAAGGUACCUGGAAUAGUUUUUGAUCAAAAUCUAUAUGGCCUUUGGAUUGGACUGCGACCGAUCAGGCUGUUGGUGAGGUAAUGGCCCACCAAACCUGUAACCGGUACGGGCUCUGAGAGGAGGAGCCCGGAGAUGGGUACUGAGAAAAGGACCCAGGCCCUAUGGGGCGCAGCAGGCGCGAAACCUCUGCAAUAGGCGAAAGCCUGACAGGGUUAUUCUGAGUGACUUUCGCUAAGAAAGUCUUUUGACAUCUCUAAAAAUGGUGUAGAAUAAGGGGUGGGCAAGUCUGGUGUCAGCCGCCGCGGUAAUACCAGCACCCCGAGUGGUCGGGACGAUUAUUGGGCCUAAAGCAUCCGUAGCCGGUUUUACAAGUCCUCCGUUAAAUCCAACUGCUUAACAGAUGGGCCGCGGAGGAUACUAUAAGACUAGGAGGCAGGAGAGGCAAGCGGUACUCAGUGGGUAGGGGUAAAAUCCGUUGAUCCAUUGAAGACCACCAGUGGCGAAGGCGGCUUGCCAGAAUGCGCUCGACGGUGAGGGAUGAAAGCUGGGGGAGCAAACCGGAUUAGAUACCCGGGUAGUCCCAGCUGUAAACGAUGCAGACUCGGUGAUGGACUAGCUUAAUGCUAGUCCAGUGCCGCAGGGAAGCCGUUAAGUCUGCCGCCUGGGUAGUACGGUCGCAAGACU
RNAcentral lists this ribosomal RNA (815 nucleotides) under uncultured archaeon. Its description in RNAcentral is "bacterial SSU rRNA". It matches the Rfam family "Archaeal small subunit ribosomal RNA", at positions 27 to 850 of the family's 1478-position model. The record is from RNAcentral.